Molecule: long non-coding RNA, 1348 nt
Organism: Dromaius novaehollandiae (emu)
Lineage: Eukaryota; Metazoa; Chordata; Aves; Casuariiformes; Dromaiidae
Source: Ensembl
AAAAAGGAAAAGGAGUGCCUGCCUCGGUUUCUUAUUAACUGCCAAUCCAGAGGCCACGUUGAUGGGAAGGAAGAAGGCUUGAUCUCAGUUACCGAACUGCAGGACUGGCUCGGACCGACGAUACUUCUGCCCUCUUCCCGUCUCUGAUAGUGGCUUAGUACAGCUUCAGUGUGUGGAGCAGUCCAGCCCUAAUGGAUAGAACCUCAUCGGACUCUGAACAGCUGCAGCAGUGCUAUUCCUGUGAGUCUCAGACACCAAACUCUCAGCUUUCCUGGGCUGAACACGGACUUCUCCCUCCCCUGGAUCAGACACUGACCUACAGUUUCCCAUUCACCAUCAUCUUGGCAAGACUGAUUACCCUGCAUGCACUUUUGUCCCUUGUAGCAGCAAUGGCAGUGAAACCAACCCCAGUGAUUGAAGUAGGGGGAAAAUAGAAGGUCGAUUUUCCAGCUCAACAGAAGCUGGACUCUGAAGCUCAGCAGGCUUUUGGAGCCAGGAACCACUCUUGCUCUAAGGCAAUAUUCUAAGUGAGAGAGUGACUCUAGAUUAUUAUUUUAGUUUGGAUAAGGAAUGAACUUUGGAAAUUAGUCCCACUGAGCCCUCUAAGGCUCCCAUUUAAACUCAGCUUCACAUAGCCUGUGAGCUUGGGCAGCUGCAAGGAUAUGGUCCUAUGUGAUUCUGAGACAGGUGAAGGCUGAAUGAUCCAGCUAUGCAUAGAGGCAAGAUUUUUGCCUCCUUACGAGUGCUGUAGCUCCUGUAAGUUCAGAGUUUUCACAGAAAAGCUCACACUGAGUUCCAGCAAACAUUUCUGAUGGAAUCUGUAUUCCUCCAAAGCUGAUAUGACUCUUAAAGCAAACAAGCUAGCAAACAAACAAACAAAAAAGAAAAAAGUAAAGGCAUAGUAUUCUUUUGUAUGUCUUUCUACUUCAGGUACUGCCAGCAGCACAAUAACCUUUUUAAAACAAAGUGUUGUUUAUUUAGAACAAAAAGACACAGAGAAAUCAUGUGAUAAAACCCUAAAUCUAUCUAUUUGAUUUCUACCUCUUUCUGAGGCUCACUGUUCUUCAGUUCAGGGAAAGACUCUGUUCCUUCUUGUCAGCCCCUGACCUAUCCUAUUCUACCAUCCCUCUCUUUCAAUCAAUCUUUUCUGAGUAUUUUUAAUGUUCUCCUUCUUUGUAGGAUUGUCACUAGAGAUUAGGAAUGGGAUAGGAUGCUCAAAGACAAGAACUUUGCCUAGUGUCUUUCGUAUUUGAUCCUGGUCAUUUGUACCUGAGAAAGUAUUGGAUUACCUUCUUUAUUGUUCUUUUUAUAGCUGCCAUUGAAAUGAACAAUGCUAAGGCAUAUAGGA